Molecule: ribosomal RNA, 423 nt
Filed under: uncultured archaeon
Lineage: Archaea
Description: partial 16S ribosomal RNA
Rfam family: Archaeal small subunit ribosomal RNA
Source: RNAcentral
CUACGGGCGGCAGCAGUCGAGGAACUUUUGCAAUGCGCGAAAGCGUGACAAAGCAAGCCAGAGUGUUUUUCUUAUUAGAAAAACUUUUGUCUGCUGUAAAAAGGCAGAUGAAUAAGGACUGGGCAAGACCGGUGCCAGCCGCCGCGGUAAUACCGGCGGUCCAAGUCGCAGCCUCUUUUAUUGGGUCUAAAACAUCCGUAGCUUGUUUUGCGAGUCUCUUGUGAAAUCUUAUAUCUCAAGUAUAAGGUGUGCAAGAGAUACUGCACUACUAGAGACCGGAAGACGUAGCGAGUACAGCCAAGGUAGUGGUAAAAUACGUUAAUCUUGGCUGGACUAACAAUGGCGAAGGCACGCUACGAGGACGGAUCUGACAGUGAGGGAUGAAGGCUAGGGUCGCAAAAUGGAUUAGAUACCCUGGUAGUC